UACGUAGGGUGCGAGCGUUGUCCGGAAUUAUUGGGCGUAAAGAGCUCGUAGGCGGUCUGUCGCGUCGGUCGUGAAAACUUGGGGCUUAACCCUGAGCUUGCGGUCGAUACGGGCAUGACUGGAGUUCGGCAGGGGAGACUGGAAUUCCUGGUGUAGCGGUGAAAUGCGCAGAUAUCAGGAGGAACACCGGUGGCGAAGGCGGGUCUCUGGGCCGAUACUGACGCUGAGGAGCGAAAGCGUGGGGGAGCGAACAGG
RNAcentral lists this ribosomal RNA (255 nucleotides) under uncultured bacterium. RNAcentral describes it as "partial 16S ribosomal RNA". It matches the Rfam family "Bacterial small subunit ribosomal RNA", at positions 524 to 776 of the family's 1533-position model. The record is from RNAcentral.